This 253-nucleotide ribosomal RNA is filed under the name uncultured bacterium. RNAcentral describes it as "partial 16S ribosomal RNA". It matches the Rfam family "Bacterial small subunit ribosomal RNA", at positions 524 to 776 of the family's 1533-position model. The record is from RNAcentral.
CACGUAGGGCGCGAGCGUUGUCCGGAAUUAUUGGGCGUAAAGAGCUCGUAGGCGGCCUGUUGUGUCCGCUGUGAAAGCCCGGGGCUUAACCCCGGGUCUGCAGUGGAUACGGGCAGGCUAGAGGUAGGUAGGGGAGAAUGGAAUUCCCGGUGUAGCGGUGAAAUGCGCAGAUAUCGGGAGGAACACCGGUGGCGAAGGCGGUUCUCUGGGCCUUACCUGACGCUGAGGAGCGAAAGCGUGGGGAGCGAACAGG